GUUGAACGCUGGCGGCAUGCUUUACACAUGCAAGUCGAACGGUAACAGGCCUUCGGGUGCUGACGAGUGGCGAACGGGUGAGUAAUGCAUCGGAACGUGCCCAGAGGUGGGGGAUAACGCAGCGAAAGCUGUGCUAAUACCGCAUGUGAUCUGAGGAUGAAAGCGGGGGACCAGGCAGCAAUGUUUGGCCUCGCGCCUUUGGAGCGGCCGAUGUCAGAUUAGGUAGUUGGUGGGGUAAAGGCCUACCAAGCCGACGAUCUGUAGCUGGUCUGAGAGGACGACCAGCCACACUGGGACUGAGACACGGCCCAGACUCCUACGGGAGGCAGCAGUGGGGAAUUUUGGACAAUGGGCGCAAGCCUGAUCCAGCAAUGCCGCGUGCGGGAAGAAGGCCUUCGGGUUGUAAACCGCUUUUGUACGGAACGAAAAGGCUCUGGCUAAUACCUGGGGCUGAUGACGGUACCGUAAGAAUAAGCACCGGCUAACUACGUG
RNAcentral lists this ribosomal RNA (492 nucleotides) under uncultured bacterium. RNAcentral describes it as "partial 16S ribosomal RNA". It matches the Rfam family "Bacterial small subunit ribosomal RNA", at positions 28 to 507 of the family's 1533-position model. The record is from RNAcentral.